RNAcentral lists this ribosomal RNA (455 nucleotides) under uncultured bacterium. Its description in RNAcentral is "bacterial SSU rRNA". It matches the Rfam family "Bacterial small subunit ribosomal RNA", at positions 923 to 1379 of the family's 1533-position model. The record is from RNAcentral.
GCACAAGCGGUGGAGCAUGUGGUUCAAUUCGACGCAACGCGAAGAACCUUACCUGGGCUCGAACGGCUUCUCAACGGCGGUGGAAACACCGCUAUCCCGCAAGGGAGUGGAGUCGAGGUGCUGCAUGGCUGUCGUCAGCUCGUGUCGUGAGAUGUUGGGUUAAGUCCCGCAACGAGCGCAACCCUCGUCCUGUGUUGCUAACCGAAAGGUGCACUCUCAGGAGACCGCCAGCGAUAAGCUGGAGGAAGGUGGGGAUGACGUCAAGUCAUCAUGGCCUUUAUGUCCAGGGCUACACACGUGCUACAAUGGCCGGUACAAUGCGCUGCCAACCCGCAAGGGGGAGCUAAUCGCAAAAAACCGGUCUCAGUUCGGAUUGCAGGCUGCAACUCGCCUGCAUGAAGCUGGAAUCGCUAGUAAUGGCGUAUCAAAACGACGCGGUGAAUACGUUCCCGGGC